RNAcentral lists this transfer RNA (59 nucleotides) under Phytophthora infestans (potato late blight agent). It matches the Rfam family "tRNA", at positions 7 to 64 of the family's 71-position model. From Rfam's summary of the family: Transfer RNA (tRNA) molecules are approximately 80 nucleotides in length. Their secondary structure includes four short double-helical elements and three loops (D, anti-codon, and T loops). Further hydrogen bonds mediate the characteristic L-shaped molecular structure. tRNAs have two regions of fundamental functional importance: the anti-codon, which is responsible for specific mRNA codon recognition, and the 3' end, to which the tRNAs corresponding amino acid is attached (by aminoacyl-tRNA synthetases). tRNAs cope with the degeneracy of the genetic code in two manners: having more than one tRNA (with a specific anti-codon) for a particular amino acid; and 'wobble' base-pairing, i.e. permitting non-standard base-pairing at the 3rd anti-codon position. RNAcentral also lists the same sequence under 1 other name. Lineage: Eukaryota; Oomycota; Peronosporomycetes; Peronosporales; Peronosporaceae. The record is from Rfam by way of RNAcentral.
UUAGCUCAAUGGUUGAGCGUUGGCUUUGAGAGCCACAGGUCGGUGGUUCGAACCCACCA